GUCAGCAGCAGGGAAAAUGAGGGUCUCAGCCAGUCCCAACUCUGGAACAUCAGGUCAAUGACAAAACAAAGUCAGAUUUUCACAUUGCUAUUUCCAGCUAUGGUGUCACUGGCAAUGGUGAUGUUUAGUGUGUUCUCUGGGAAAAUGAUGCUGCAGAGAAGUUUUUGGCGAAGAGUCCUCAACCUGGGAAACAGGCAGAGAACAUCUACCUCCCAGAACACAGGGUCAACACAAGGCCAAGCAGGAAGCCUGAAGGGACGAGCUUCCACUUUGUUCCCACAGUUCCUGCCGCUUAGAGAACACGGUCCAGGAUGCUGCGUGGAUGUGACUGUUAGUUUUGUUUUUGUUUGAGAUAGAAUUUCAUACUAUGUAGACCAGGCUGAUCAAACUCACCAUCCUCCUGCCUCAGCCCUGCAGCUCCCCAUCUCUGGGAUUCCAGCUAUAUACCACGACACCUAUCUCAGACUCCUUGGCAAGAUGCAAAACAAACAAACAAACACCAAGCAAG
Molecule: long non-coding RNA, 508 nt
Filed under: Mus pahari (shrew mouse)
Lineage: Eukaryota; Metazoa; Chordata; Mammalia; Rodentia; Muridae
Description: lncRNA (MGP_PahariEiJ_G0006159.1)
Source: RNAcentral